Molecule: ribosomal RNA, 301 nt
Filed under: uncultured bacterium
Lineage: Bacteria
Description: partial 16S ribosomal RNA
Rfam family: Bacterial small subunit ribosomal RNA
Source: RNAcentral
CAGCAGCCACGGUAAUACGUAGGUCCCGAGCGUUGUCCGGGUUUAUUGGGCGUAAAGCGAGCGCAGGCGGUUAGAUAAGUCUGAUGUGAAAGCCCCCGGCUCAACCGGGGAGGGUCAUUGGAAACUGGGAAACUUGAGUGCAGAAGAGGAGAGUGGAAUUCCACGUGUAGCGGUGAAAUGCGUAGAGAUUAGGAGGAACACCAGUGGCGAAGGCGGCUUUUUGGCCUGUAACUGACACUGAGGCGCGAAAGCGUGGGGAGCAAACAGGAUUAGAUACCCCAGUAGUCCCUGUCUCUUAUAC